AAACACCUCACCCAUGACCCAUCUCUCUCUUAUCUUCAAGACAUGUCCACCCAUCUCUCUUCUCGGAAAUCCAUCCUCCCCGCCCCUCCCCACGCCACCCCCGACCGAUCUAUUCGUAGACGGGGACGGGUUGAAUAAUUCCAUGUGUACGCUGGUGAUGAGCCGACGAGACAUGGCCCUCCUUGCCGUC
This 190-nucleotide non-coding RNA is filed under the name Zea mays. Lineage: Eukaryota; Viridiplantae; Streptophyta; Magnoliopsida; Poales; Poaceae. The record is from RNAcentral.